CGGCCCCGGGCCGCUGAGUGUGACGGACGGGGCCGGGGGCCGCCGGGCGCCGCGGCGUCGGCGGCUCCGCGCGGACCAUGUAUUUCCUGAGCGGCUGGCCCAAGAGGCUGCUCUGCCCUCUGGGGAGCCCGGCCGAGGCGCCUUUCCACGUUCAGUCCGACCCCCAGAGGACUUUCUUCGCCGUGCUGGCCCCGGCCCGCCUCAGCAUCUGGUACAGCCGACCUAGUGUAUUAAUCGUAACCUACAAGGAACCUGCAAAAUCAUGUUCUCAGUUUGGAUCCUACAAGCAAGCUGAAUGGAGGCCAGAUAGUACCAUGAUAGCUGUGUCAACGGCAAAUGGCUACAUCUUGUUUUUUCAUAUAACAUCUACAAGAGGGGACAAGUACCUUUAUGAACCAGUGUAUCCCAAAGGAAGUCCACAAGUGAAGGGGACACCCCAUUUUAAGGAAGAACAGUGUGCUCCAGCAUUAAAUUUAGAGAUGAGGAAAAUAUUGGAUUUGCAAGCACCCAUCAUGAGUUUGCAGUCUGUGCUGGAAGAUCUCCUGGUUGCUACUUCUGAUGGACUUCUUCAUCUUAUUCACUGGGAAGGAAUGACAAAUGGGAGGAAAGCUAUUAAUCUUUGUACAGUACCCUUUUCAGUAGACCUCCAGUCAUCUAGAGCAGGUUCAUUCCUGGGCUUUGCAGAUGUGCACAUUAGAGACAUGGAAUACUGUGCCACACUUGAUGGGUUUGCUGUUGUGUUUAAUGAUGGUAAAGUUGGAUUUAUCACACCAGUGUCAAGUAGAUUUACUGCAGAGCAGCUUCAUGGAGUUUGGCCACAAGAUGUUGUUGAUGGAACUUGUGUAGCAGUAAAUAACAAGUAUCGACUGAUGGCGUUUGGUUGUGCGAGUGGUUCUGUACAGGUUUAUACAAUAGAUAACACCACUGGAGCCAUGCUACUAUCUCAUAAACUAGAGUUAACAGCAAAACAAUAUCCUGACAUUUGGAACAAAACAGGAGCUGUUAAAUUGGUCAGAUGGUCUCCUGACAAUAGUGUUGUAAUAGUGACCUGGGAAUAUGGAGGCCUUUCUUUAUGGAGUGUAUUUGGAGCUCAGCUGAUUUGUACACUUGGAGGAGAUUUUGCUUAUAGGUCUGAUGGUACCAAAAAAGAUCCCCUUAAGAUCAACUCUAUGAGCUGGGGUGCUGAAGGCUAUCACCUAUGGGUAAUCAGUGGAUUUGGUUCUCAAAAUACUGAAAAUGAGUCUGACUGCAAGAGCGUAGUUAAACAGCCUAGCAUUCUACUAUUUCAGUUUCUCAAGAGUGCACUCACCGUAAACCCUUGUAUGAGUAACCAAGAGCAAGUGUUGCUUCAGGGGGAAGAUCGAUUGUACUUGAACUGUGGAGAGGCCUCACAAACCCAGAAUCCCAGGGGUACUUCGGCACACUCUGAUCAUAAGCCCAGUCAGGAAAAGGGCCCGUUUGCAGAUGGCAGUUUAGAGUCUCAGAGUUUAAGCACUUUACUUGGUCAUCGGCAUUGGCAUGUAGUACAGAUUUCCAGCACCUAUCUAGAGAGCAAUUGGCCUAUACGGUUUUCAGCUAUUGAUAAGCUCGGACAGAAUAUUGCUGUGGUUGGCAAGUUUGGUUUUGCACAUUACUCUUUACUCACCAAAAAAUGGAAGCUUUUUGGAAACAUUACCCAGGAGCAAAAUAUGAUUGUGACAGGUGGCUUAGCCUGGUGGAAUGAUUUUAUUGUCCUUGCAUGCUAUAACAUAAGUGAUCAUCAAGAGGAGCUCAGAGUAUACUUGAGAACGUCAAAUCUGGACAAUGCUUUUGCUCAUGUCACCAAAACACAAGCAGAAACAUUACUGCUUAGUGUCUUCCGGGACAUGGUAAUAGUAUUUAGAGCAGACUGUUCAAUAUGCCUUUACAGUAUUGAAAGGAAAUUUGAUGGUCCAAAUACUGCUGGUAUUCAAGUUCUUCAGGAAGUCUCCAUGUCACGCUACAUUCCUCACCCUUUCCUGGUAGUAUCUGUCACUCUGACAUCAGUGAGUACAGAGAAUGGAAUCACCUUGAAAAUGCCACAGCAGGCUCGUGAUGCAGAGAGCAUUAUGCUGAAUCUUGCAGGACAGCUCAUCAUGAUGCAGAGGGACAGAUCAGGCCCUCAGAUCCGUGAGAAGGACAGUAACCCUAACCAAAGGAAACUUCUGCCAUUCUGUCCUCCUGUUGUACUAGCCCAGUCUGUUGAAAAUGUCUGGACCACGUGUCGAGCAAAUAAACAAAAGCGUCACCUUUUGGAGGCCCUCUGGCUGAGCUGUGGAGGUUCAGGGAUGAAAGUUUGGCUCCCUCUCUUCCCUAGGGAUCACCGUAAGCCCCAUUCCUUCUUGUCCCAGCGGAUCAUGCUGCCUUUCCACAUAAAUAUCUACCCCCUGGCUGUUCUGUUUGAAGAUGCAUUAGUCCUUGGUGCUGUCAAUGACACUGUACUCUAUGAUUCUUUGUAUACUCGGAACAGUGCUAGGGAACAGCUGGAGGUGCUCUUCCCUUUCUGUGUUGUGGAGAGAACCUCUCAGAUCUACCUCCACCACAUUCUACGUCAGCUGCUGGUGAGGAACCUUGGGGAACAAGCCUUGCUUUUAGCCCAGUCCUGUGCCGCGUUACCUUACUUUCCUCACGUGCUGGAGCUCAUGCUCCAUGAAGUGCUGGAAGAAGAAGCUACCUCACGGGAGCCCAUUCCCGACCCUCUGCUUCCCACUGUGGCAAAAUUUAUCACCGAGUUCCCACUCUUCCUGCAGACAGUUGUUCAUUGUGCCAGGAAGACUGAAUAUGCCCUGUGGAAUUACCUUUUUGCAGCCGUUGGAAACCCGAAGGACUUGUUUGAGGAAUGUUUGAUGGCUCAGGAUUUGGAUACUGCUGCCUCGUACCUUAUUAUUUUACAGAACAUGGAAGUCCCAGCAGUAAGUAGGCAACAUGCCACCCUUCUGUUCAACACAGCCCUGGAACAAAGCAAGUGGGACCUGUGUCGACACAUGAUUCGAUUUCUUAAAGCCAUUGGCUCUGGAGAAUCUGAGACGCCUCCAUCCACACCUACAGCUCAGGAACCCAGUUCAAGUGGUGGAUUUGAGUUCUUCAGGAAUCGAAGCAUCAGUUUAUCCCAGUCAGCUGAAAAUGUUCCUGCUAGUAAAUUCAGCUUACAGAAAACACUAAGUAUGCCGUCUGGCCCUUCUGGAAAAAGAUGGAGCAAAGACAGUGACUGUGCUGAGAACGUGUAUAUUGAUAUGAUGCUCUGGAGACAUGCCCGGCAUCUCUUAGAAGAAGUUCGGCUAAAGGAUCUCGGCUGCUUUGCAGCCCAGCUGGGCUUUGAACUAAUUAGUUGGCUAUACAAGGAACGUACCCGAGCUGCCCGAGUAGACAACUUUGUGUUAGCCCUGAAGAGACUCCACAAAGAUUUCCUGUGGCCACUUCCCAUCAUCCCAGCUUCUUCUCUCAGUUCUCCUUUCAAAAAUGGAAAAUACCGAACAGUGGGAGAGCAGCUGUUAACGUCCCAGUCAGCCGACCCUUUUUUGAACCUUGAGAUAGACGCUGGCAUCUCUAAUGUCCAACGAAGUCAGAGCUGGCUCGGCAACAUCGGCCCCACGCAUCAUGAAAUAGACACAGCCUCAUCGCAUGGACCACAGAUGCAAGACGCCUUCCUUUCACCUUUAUCUAAUAAAGGUGAUGAAUGCAGUAUUGGUUCAGCCACAGACUUGACUGAAAGUAGCUCCAUGGUGGAUGGAGACUGGACAAUGGUCGAUGAAAAUUUCUCCACACUCAGUUUAACUCAGUCAGACCUAGAGCACAUCUCCAUGGAGUUGGCAAGUAAAGGGCCUCACAAAUCCCAGGUUCAGCUUCGGUAUUUGCUACACAUCUUCAUGGAGGCAGGAUGUCUGGACUGGUGUGUUGUUAUAGGCCUGAUUCUCAGAGAAUCCUCAAUAAUCAACCAGAUUUUGGUUAUUAUACAAUCUUCAGAGGUAGAUGGAGAGAUGUUACAGAACAUAAAGACAGGGCUGCAUGCUGUGGACAGAUGGGCCUCUACAGAUUGUCCUGGAUAUAAGCCAUUUUUAAACAUCAUUAAGCCACAACUGCAAAAGCUCAGUGAGAUAACAGAAGAGCAGGUCCAGCCUGAAGCCUUCCAGCCAAUAACUGUGGGUAAGACUCCUGAACAGACUAACCCCCGGGCAGAGGAGAACAGGAGCUCCUCCGGCCACGGGAGCAUCCCCCAGGGCGAGGUCGGAGGUAGCAGUUUGGUCAGCCGGAAGGAGGAGGACACAACCCGAGCAGAGGAGGAGGAACCUUUUCAGGAUGGGACUUACGACUGUUCUGUGUCCUAACAACAAUGGGUGCCGUCACCAUGGGCAGUAUUAAUUAGCGGCAGCAUGCAGCUGAGGACACUGUGACCUAGUUGGAUGAUUUAACCAGGGAGAGAACUCAGCUCAGAGACUCUGGUAAGGUAUUACUAAAUUUUAACUAACUCUUUCUCCUCUAAGAAAUCUCUUUGAGUCCAUAAAAAUGUGAUAUCAAAAAAAUCAUCUUUCAUAAAUUUUUUAAGCUGCAGUGGAAGUAAUAAAGAAUAUUGUACAGAUGUACAUGAAAAUAUUUUGGUUUUAUUCUUAAAGGUUGGUAGCUCUUAAACCACAGGGAUUGUUUUGCCCCAGAUGAGCAAAACACUUUUCACUACUUACAGCUUCCUAUGUUUUCUGGUUCAGCGUGUGUUCAGACUGCUUUUUAAAAACCAAUGCUAAGGUGCUUGCUAUAGCUCAUCAAGUACUUGAGCUACCUGUAUGCCCCCUUGGAUCAAGAGCACUGGCCUCCCUAACUGGGCCUCUGAAUAGAUGCCUGCCCUAGCAUAAGAGGUGCCUGUAUGAAGGAGAUAUGCUCCUCUUCUAGCCUGUUAAAUCCCGGUCCUGAAUUGAUGGAAGCUAUUUACCUGUGAGUCAGUAUGCCUGCUUUUUAGCAAGCUUGGUUCCUGCUAGGUCAGCGUGCGCUGAGGUCUGAGGAGUUCUUAUCAAUUAUGCUAUUAGAUACCACUAAACUAUUUUAUAUCAAAGAAUUGUUAUCUUUUUGUGAGUACUCUUGUGUAAGUAUACUCAAAGGCACUGUUCAUAUUUUUAGGGCUUGUACUAUAAUUUGUAAGGUUUUAUGCUGGAUUCUGCAUGGCUAUAGAUACUCACUCUUGGAACAAAGACAGGGCUUGCUCUUCUUUCCAAAUACAAGCAGUCUUCAUAGAGGAAGACAGGUUUAUUGGCUUGGUCAUUAAGGUAACAGAAAUGGUCACACUGAUCAUGAAAUGAAACAGGUUUUGUGCAAAUUAAUGUAGUUUCUUAUUUAUUGCUUUUGUAAAUUGAAUAAAAAUGGACUUUUAUGUAAAUAGACUGCUGAAUCCUGUAUUAUCACGGCUACUAAAAAUUAGUAUGUAAAGAAUGCAUUCUUCAUUGUAACUUUUUAAAUAUUUUAUGUAUUUCUAGAAAUGACAAACUUUAGUUUUCAUACAUUAUGAAAACAUGACUGCAUACUCAAUUGCUUUAGACUGAACACAUACCCACUGUAUGUACAUCAAUUACCUUAUAACAGUAUUAAUUUAGAUAGCUUGUUUGUACUGUGCAAUUUGAACAAAGGAAUGCAAUGUUAUUUUUUACAAAAAUGAACUUAUUUUUAUAAUAACAAUGUAUUUGAUGUGGACCAAAUUCAUACCACUAUGUAAAACAGCCUCUCUUCUCAUAGUGCAAUUACAGUUUAGAAAUAAAACUUGGUCCUCUAUCCUUGCUUUUUAAAGUAAGUGGCUAGCUUUAGUUGUCCUAGCCAGGUUUCCUUUCAAGGGAAACCCAAAACCAUUUUGAAAAUGCUUUGUUCAUAAUUCAUCAAACGGUUUUAAAUUAUUGAGUUUGGUAAUUUACUAUCACUUACUUUUCACAUUACAAGUGCAAUAAUUUCCCAUACAAAAACUCCUGAAUGGGUGGAAUAUGUGAUUACUGGUACCUGGUCCUUCUGGUGCUAUGUUUAUUCAAGCCUUUGUUUUAAACCACCUUUCCCUGAAUUUUAAGAUAGAAAAUGUUUCCCAUGUGAGUACAUGCAGCCCAGCAAGAAACUAAACUGAAGAAUUUCUUCUCCUGUCCUAGUCCAUUAGGAGAAGAACUAGCAUUACUUCUGUGUUUGGUGUGAGUAUUUAGUCAAUAAACAUGACUUACCAUUGUAAACAGCUAUGAUCUUUUUCAGGUAUCCUAAUGUGCUGCUGGGUUCAUCUUGCACUCUAAAAGCAGGGCACCAAAAGCUAGCAGAAUUUACCACUGCUGGAGCCAGGAAGCCAACAGCCAUCUUCCUCAACAUGAAAAGUACCUCUAAGUCCUAGAGCUGCCAUCAUGCAGGAUCUGAACACCAACAACUAUAAGGACAUUCCAGUACAAGCCACAGCCUCAAGUCUCAGGAAAUCCAGCUCUGCUGAACACAGUAAGUUAGUGAGAAACUAACCUAUUCAACUGGCUGGAAAACAGACAAAAAUAAGGACCCAGUGCAUCAAUAAAAUUAUGCCCUAAAGGCUUAACCUUGGAUAACAGAAGACUCCUGAGAAGUGAGAAUAAAUAUAAAAUGCCCAGCCACUCCCAACCCCACUCUCCUCCCACCCCAGAAUAGCCACCAUGGCAACCAGUGCUCUGAAGAAGGAAGUUAACGUCAUAUACUUGCACAAACAAUAUUCUAAACCAAAAGAGCCUGUGAAACUCAGAGGGAAAGGUAACUAGACAAAUGCUCUUCUCACAAUGGUGAGGAGGUGUGGAGAGGAAGAAAAGGUAUGUUUCAGAGGGAAACAGGCAUUGAAAACCACCUCAGAAAAGCAUUACAAUGAUGGAGCUCAGUGACCACUUGUCAGAAGGACAUGAGUCACCAACUCACACAGGUUUCCACAUCAGAGGACGGACCGGGGCUUCAGAGGUGUAAAGCACACUAAAGGCUGCAUGCAGAAGCAGAGCUCUCGGCACAGGCUGGGGUCUCAAAAGCCCGAUGGUUCCUCCCCAGUCUUUACCGCAGUUGCUUUCUAAUGACCUACAGUUAGGCCUCAAGGGGAAUCAUUACUCCUGUGAAUGAUAUUUAACCUACCAUCCAAUGACACACAAAAAAUGGUCUUGGGCUUUAACUGAAAAUGUCAUUUGUCUCGUUAACAGUGGAUUUACAAUACCUUCUGCAUCUCUCAUGGUCCUAAGGGGACAACUAUUAAAGUGGUUUGUUGGCUUUCGUCCUUAAGGUCAUAUAAAAUGACAUGUAGGUAGUGGCAGUACCCACAUGUACUUAAGUGCCAGAAAACUGGUAUUUUCAAGUGUCAGAAGGGCCAUGCACACUACCCCACAGCAUAACCAUUACAGACAGUGCUGGGCCCUGAAGAGUGUUAGCCCUUCAAGCUCUUUGAACAUGUGCUCAUUAAUUCAUUGACUUACAUACAAACAUCCAUGAAACACAAGGAGAAACCGUGCCACGUGGAGUAU
Molecule: RNA transcript, 7484 nt
Organism: Physeter macrocephalus (sperm whale)
Lineage: Eukaryota; Metazoa; Chordata; Mammalia; Artiodactyla; Physeteridae
Gene: RIC1
Gene name: RIC1 homolog, RAB6A GEF complex partner 1
Exons: 27
Source: RefSeq, a predicted model, not a curated record